Molecule: ribosomal RNA, 303 nt
Filed under: Triticum aestivum (bread wheat)
Lineage: Eukaryota; Viridiplantae; Streptophyta; Magnoliopsida; Poales; Poaceae
Description: partial small subunit ribosomal RNA
Source: RNAcentral
AUGUUGCUAGAUGCAGGAGAUGAUGUGUUUGUGCCAAUAGAUGCUCGUGCGUGUGCUCGAGUCCUAGGUUUGGAGGAAGGAGGCAUACGUAUCCCGUUGGGUAAGCCACCGAGCAGGCCUGCAGUCUUGGCUAGGGUUCAUGCUCUUCUUGGCACGGGUAUAGCUAGAUCAAGUAAUGUUCCGGCGCAGAGGGUGUUAGCUAUCCUAGAGGAGGCCAUGGUUGGGGAGGUAGAUGCUACAAGGGAACGGAAGCUGUUGGCGGCAUACACAAUGUAUGCCGGUGUAGUCUUCCUAGCCCCGUGA